AUGUUAAUUAGAUAUGACAAUGAAACAAACAAGUAUUUACCGCUAGGCACAUAUCUUCCAAACAUCCAUGUUUUCACCAACAACAGCCCGUCCUAUACUAUUUUUUAUUUAAAUACCAUAUCCUGCAGCAAGCAGAUGCAUAUAGUCAAGCAUAAUAAGAUCUUUAUAUUUAUGAACCGAAGCAUCAUACAGGCCAUAAAAAUAAAUAGAAACCGUGAUGCCACUGGACUUCCUUGUAGUAUUUGUAUUCCUUCUAACUGCAAAAAACAAAAGGAUAAUUUCAAAGGUUUAUGUUCCAGUUUUCUUACUUGGACACCCCAAAGUGGCUAUGAUCUUGCGGUAAAUUUCUAA
RNAcentral lists this ribosomal RNA (351 nucleotides) under Triticum aestivum (bread wheat). Its description in RNAcentral is "partial small subunit ribosomal RNA". Lineage: Eukaryota; Viridiplantae; Streptophyta; Magnoliopsida; Poales; Poaceae. The record is from RNAcentral.